Molecule: ribosomal RNA, 293 nt
Filed under: uncultured bacterium
Lineage: Bacteria
Description: partial 16S ribosomal RNA
Rfam family: Archaeal small subunit ribosomal RNA
Source: RNAcentral
GUGCCAGCAGCCGCGGUAACACCGGCAGCUCAAGUGGUGGCCAUUUUUAUUGGGCCUAAAGCGUUCGUAGCCGGCCUGAUAAGUCUCUGGUGAAAUCCUACAGCUUAACUGUGGGAAUUGCUGGAGAUACUAUUAGGCUUGAGGUCGGGAGAGGUUAGCGGUACUCCCAGGGUAGGGGUGAAAUCCUAUAAUCCUGGGAGGACCACCUGUGGCGAAGGCGGCUAACUGGAACGAACCUGACGGUGAGUAACGAAAGCCAGGGGCGCGAACCGGAUUAGAAACCCCCGUAGUCC